UUGCUUGUUUCUAAAACAAUUUAUUUUUAUUUAUCUUGUAACAAUUAACUAUUUUGACAUUUUAGACAUUGUAAGAGGAAGUGAAUGGGAGAAUAUUGGAGCUUAUGUACAUUUGAGGUAGUCAAUUGAUGAACAUUGCAAAAGCUUAAAAUGCCAACCAAUCUUCUAAAUAUCUAAUAAAACAUGGUAGUCACUUGUCGAAAUUUAACUAAUUGUCCUCUAUAUUUCAUCAUCAACUUGAGUAAAGAGAUCUAUUUACUAUUUGAACAAAUACAAACUCCUAUUUAUCAUAUUUGUUCGAUGACAUCCUAAAAAGUCAAAAUUUUCACAAAAUACUGUAACAUAAAAAGCAAAGUUAGAAAAAAAAAACAUGCCUCCUUAUAUAAUUUUCUCUUCAACAUGGUGAAUUAAUAAGCUAAGUAGGAAACAUAUUUGAAAAAUAUCAACAGUCUUGACAUUAAAACUACUGAAGAUGAUUUCCUUAUAUUUAAACUCAACUUCAAGUUUAAAGACUUCAAUAACUUGGUGAAUUAAUAAGCUAAGUAGGCAAAGAAUCUCGAAAGCAUUUACACUUAAUUUGAUCCGGACCUUUAGAAGACAAGUAUUGGUGAUUUUAAUGAGUAAUAUAGCUUUUAUGAUAGCUUUACCUAAGAUUUUGGACUAGUGGUGAAUCAGGAGAUGAUAGCUGCUAAGGAGUGAUUUAAGAUGAAUUGUAUUGAUCUUGGAGUAUCAAAUUGAAUAGGAGGAUUUUUGAUUAAUUUUGACUAUUUCUUUAGCCCUCUGGAUGGGUUUACGAUGCUGUAACAUUGGUUCUAACUGGUCAAUGAAAGAAGCUAUUUAGUGGGCAUGUAUAGGUACCAUUAGAACUCGUACAAUGCUGGUUUACACUGAUUCUUCUAUUUUUUUGUUUAGCUAUUGAUUCACUGUUAAAAGUUACAAAUGCAUUUCUUACUUUUCUACUUAUGUUAUUGUAUGAUGCUCAAUUUGACACUUUUCAAGUUUUUACUUUUUCUUAUAGGAGAUAAUUGAAGCUAAUAGAGGGUAAAUUAAUGAGAAUGUUGAAUAUGGUCAUUUUCUUUGAUUUCUAACUUAUACCAAAGAGAAUGAGUAGAUAUUUAGAGUUGUCUAUGGUUAGAAUAGGUUCACUGAGUUGGUGAAUUAACGUGGCAUCAAGCUUGCUUCAGGGAUCUAAUACAUGGAGUUCUUUCUUUAAAGAAAAAAAAUGAAGGGGAUUGGUGGUAGUUAAGGCUAUAGGAGGAUUAUGAAAAUUAUCGGUGUAUAUAUUUAACUUUUCUUGUCUACUUGUACAAGGUCUUAAUAUAGUGAUUAAUUUAAAAUUAUAUAUAUGAUUUUAGUUUGAAAUCGAAAAGAUAUGUAAAUUAAAUAUAUAGAUAUAAGGAAUGAAAUGUAAUUUGUUCUUGCAUGUAUAUAUGUGUAUUAUUCAUUUUGAUUUGCAGGCCUUGUGAAAAUCGAAGAAGAUACUGGGCGGUUCUUUGAGUUACUUUGAAACUUUGUUGUGACUUGGGAAUGGAUUAUUAGUAUGUCCAGAUUAUAAGAGUAUAAAAACAAAUACAGGAUUACAUAUGAAAUGUUUGCAAAUCAUUAUAAUUAGCUAUAGAACAAGUCCUAUAUAUAUAUAUAUAUAAAGUGAAUCAAAAGAAAAGAUGCGCAUACAUAAUUGUGGAAUGGUGAUGGUAAUCGAGGAAGUGCUUAUGAAUCUGGUUCCUUUCGUGCGACUAAUUUAUUGUAUAUAUAAAAAUAUAGAUUUAUAUAGCCUGUUCAUCACAUUGUGGGCUGAGUUCCAAAUGCGCAUUGUCAAUUAAAAAAUGAAUCUCCCUAAAAGUUGAGUUAGGGAGAAGGUAAAAAAGGAGAGCAAUUGUAUAUGCAGGUAUAUAUAUGCGUUACACUUUUUUGAAUAUUGAAUGCUGGAUGCAUAAUCUUUUAUUUAAAUCUUUAAUUGUAUAUAGAAGAAAAUAUAUACACACAUAAUAUUUUAGUGCAUCAAACGAUAUAUAUAGUAUACAAUUUGAAAUAAUUUAUUCCCAUAUCUAUAUUUAAGAAAACUAGGUUAAUAUGCCAAAGGAUUCGUUAAAUAAUUAGGGAGCUAAUUAGUUUAAUUAUAAUAAUUUUUAUUUGAAUUGAUCAAUAUGUAAAUUAAUUAUACAUAUGCUAUAUGAUUCAUUAUAAUUGCAAUAUAUAUGAUUAUAUAAUUCGUAAAGAAAAAAUUAAUUAUAUGACAUGAUACGACAAGACCAUCAAAAGUUGUGUUUUUUGUUGAUAUAUUUCUUUCUAAUGAUAUUUACCUAUACAUCAUAAAAAUUUAGAUGCUCACCCUUCCAUACACAUAUGCAAACAUCUCAAUAUAUAUUUACCUACCUUAACAUGUAUGCCUUCCAUCGCUACCUUAUAUAUUACAUGUAUAUAUAUAUAAUGUAUAUAUCAACUGGAUCAGACAACAAACAUCUGGCCUGUACUUGGUUUAUAGUUAAUUUGCUCGAUAUGCAAACUUUAAUUUGUAAGAUUUCAAAAUUUUCCAGGCAAAACAUAAUUACUAAUUACACUUCAAUAGUAUUCUAAUACCAUAAAAACUUAAAAUUUAGGAUAAUGACAUUAAGGAAUAAUAUUUUCCUCAAAAGAAAAUCUCGAUCUAAUCGAAAUAUCUCAAAUAAUUUAUAUUUUUAUUAAUAUGAAAGCGUGAAUCUAGAAAGAUACACUAAAAUUAUAAAUAUAUUGUUUAAUUAUUUUAUUGGAUUUAUUUCGGGUUCUACCUAACUAAUAGAUAUAUAGAAUAAUCUAUCUUUGUUCCUUAUGUUUUAAAAAACAAAAAAAUUAUAGUCACAUAUAUACUACCAAUUCAGAGUGUUGAUGAGAAGUAUAUGUGUACACUUGUAACUAGCUCUUUUAAGUAGUUCUGACAGUAUCUUGUUUAAUUUGCUAAAUAUGUAAUAUUAGUGUGAUACAAUAGCAAUGCUGUCUAAAUAGCAAGUAGAAUAAGUAUUGCUUUAUACGUAUACACACAGAUAUAUAAUCUUUACCUGCGUUUCGUUAUUUAUAUGUACACCAGCAUGCAAUCUAUAACAUAUCGUAAUUAACUUAAAGGUUGGAAUCAGUAAUGGAUGAUGGAUUGUUUCCUUCUAAUUGUUUUUUGAACAUGACUUUGCCUUCUUGUUUUCUCAAUCUCUAUUGCUGUUGAUAGAUGUAUUGUUGAUGGUACUUCUCGUUAUGUUUCUAAUGGUUAAUUACUACUGAUAAAUUUUAUUUCAAUUUUAAAAAAAAGUUAAUUAUCUUACAGGUAAGUAUGGAUUGUCGAGGUUCAAAAGGCAUAUAUUUUAGUACCAUACUAGUAUCAUUUUUUUAACAGGAAAAGAGACAACACCUUUAUAUUAUUACUGCAUAAAAUUGGCAAGAAAUAUAUCUUUGAUUUUCUUUAGGAGUUUUUUGGCUAUUACAUAAGUCAAUACAAAAGAAAUAAUAUAUAUUACUUUUAUUAUUUUAUUUUAAAAUUAAAUUACACUAAUCAUUCUUUAACAAUAUGAAUAGUAUUUCCUCUCUUUAUAAAAAUAUUUGAAUUCAAAGUAUACAUUCUCAUGUAUUCUUUAGGAUAUAGGGCUAAUUAAUAAAUAAAAUGUAUGAAUUGUUAUUAUAGAGAUUUAAGUCCUAAAUUUUAUUUUUAUUUUUUAUAAUUAAUAUUUUUUUUGAAAAGUAAUAUAUCUCUUAACAAUAACACACAAAUUUACAAAACCAACCAUAAGGUAUGCCUAUAUGCCAAAGCCAACCACUAGCAUCGUUUAUAAUACAUGAGACCUUAGAGUAUAAAACAAGAGCAUCAUAUAAAAAGUGGCAUAAACAACCAUAAAAUAGUCUAUUCUACAUUACACAUCUAAAACAACUUCCUACAUAUGUGAGUGUGAUGAUAAACAACUUAUAGAUUGU
This 3933-nucleotide long non-coding RNA is filed under the name Carica papaya (papaya). Its description in RNAcentral is "long non-coding RNA (CPAP_LNC004782)". Lineage: Eukaryota; Viridiplantae; Streptophyta; Magnoliopsida; Brassicales; Caricaceae. The record is from RNAcentral.